RNAcentral lists this ribosomal RNA (3221 nucleotides) under Wickerhamiella azyma. RNAcentral's name for it is "eukaryotic LSU rRNA". It matches the Rfam family "Eukaryotic large subunit ribosomal RNA". Lineage: Eukaryota; Fungi; Ascomycota; Dipodascomycetes; Dipodascales; Trichomonascaceae. The record is from RNAcentral.
AAACCAACAGGGAUUGCCUUAGUAGCGGCGAGUGAAGCGGCAAAAGCUCAAAUUUGAAAUCUGCCUUACGGCCGAGUUGUAAUUUGUAGAUGGUAACUCUGUGGCAAGCCUUUGCUCAAGUUUUCUGGAAAGAAACAUCAUGGAGGGUGACAAUCCCGUGAGGCAUUGGUGCAGCUGCGUGUAGAGUGCUAUCAAAGAGUCGAGUUGUUUGGGAAUGCAGCUCAAAGUGGGUGGUAGACACCAUCUAAAGCUAAAUAUUGGCGAGAGACCGAUAGCGAACAAGUACUGUGAAGGAAAGAUGAAAAGCACUUUGAAAAGAGAGUGAAAAAGUACGUGAAAUUAUUGAUACUGAAGGGUAUAAAAUUGGACUCAAGGCCUAGGUUCGGUAGCCUCUCGGGGUUGCUUUGUCCUAGGCCCUAAACCAGCAUCAGUUUUGGCAGGUGGAUAAACAACAUGGAAUGUAGCUGCUUGCAGUGUUAUAGACUUGUUGCAUACACCUUGCCGGGACUGAGGACUGCCUUUGUAGGAUGCUGGGGUAACGAUUUUAUACCACCCGUCUUGAAACACGGACCAAGGAGUCUAUUGCCUAUGCAAGUGUUUGGGUGUUAAACCCGAGCGCGUAAUGAAAGUGAACGUAGGUUGGAGCCCGCAAGGGUGCACAAUCGGCCGAUCUUGACGUUUUACAGAUGGAUUUGAGCAAGAGCAUAGUUGAUGGGACCCGAAAGAUGGUGAACUAUACCUGGACAGGGUGAAGCCAGAGGAAACUCUGGUGGAAGCUCGUAGGCGUUCUAACGUGCAAAUUGAUGCUCAGAUCAGGGUAUAGGGGCGAAAGACUAAUCGAACCAUCUAGUAGCUGGUUCCUGCCGAAGUUUCCCUCAGGAUAGCAGUCGUUAUUUACAGUUUUAUGAGAUAGAGCUAAUGAUUAGAGGUAUUGGGGGCGCAACGCCCUUGACCUAUUCUCAAACUCCGAAUGCGUAAAAUGCAAUCCUUACUUGAUUGAAGGUUUGCGGUAGAAUGUAAACGAUUAGUGGGCCAAUUUUGGUAAGCAGAAUAGGCGAUGCGGGAUGAACCGAACGCGAGGUUAAAGUGUUCAAGUGUACGCUCAUCAGAUCCCAGAAAUGGUGUUGAUACAUUUAGACAGCUGGACGGUGGCCAUGGAAGUCGGAAUCCGCUAAGGAGUGUGUAACAACUCACCGGCCGAAUGUAUUAGCCCAGAAAAUGGAUAACGCUCAAGCGUACCACUUAUACCUCGCCGCUGUUGCUAAUCAGGCAUCAGCGAGUAGGCAGGCGUGGAGGUCGUGAAGAAGCCUUGGGCGUGAGCCUGGGUGAAACGGCCUCUAGUGCAGAUCUUGGUGGAAGUAGCAAAUAUUCAAAUGAGAACUUUGAAGACUGAAGUGGAGAAGGGUUCCGUUGGAACAGCAGUUGGCAACGGGUGAGCCGAUCCUAAGGCACAAGGUAGUUCUGUAAAGGGUGUCUGAUUUAUCAGGCCUUUGCCGAAAGGGAAACCAGCUAAUAUUCUGGUGCUUUGAUAUGGAAUCUACGCGGUAACGCAACUGAGUGUGGAGACGCUAGCAUGAGCCCUGGGAGGAGUUAUCUUUUCUUUUUAACAGUGUGCAGACCUUGAAAUUAGAUUGUCUAGCGAUAAGGUUUGAGCUCUGGAAGAGCGUGACAUCUCGGUCACGUCCGGUGCGCUCAUGAUGGACCAUGAAAAUCCGCAUGAAGAAAUAUUUUACAUACAAAGUCGUACUCAUAACCGCAGCAGGUCUCCAAGGUUAACAGCCUCUAGUUGAUAGGAUAAUGUAGAUCAGGGAAGUCGGCAAAUUAGAUCCGUAACUUCGGGAUAAGGAUUGGCUCUGAGGGUCGAGUAGGAUGGGUUGCAGGUUGACGUUGUUGGGACUGGACUGGGCUCCAGGCGGCUCGCGCUGCUUGGGGACCGGACCGGACUCGGCCUCUGAGGCCUGCAAUAGGCUUCGGCCGUCCGCCUACAGUGAACGAUCAACUCAGAACUGGUACGGACAAGGGGAGUCUGACUGUCUAAUUAAAACUUAGCAUACAGCUAAUCUCAAAAAGAUAUCGACUGUAUGUGAUUUCUGCCCAGUGCUCUGAAUGUUAAAGUGAAGAAAUUCAACCAAGCGCGGGUAAACGGCGGGAGUAACUAUGACUCUCUUAAGGUAGCCAAAUGCCUCGUCAUUUAAUUGGUGACGCGCAUGAAUGGAUUAACGCGACUCCUACUGUCCCGAUUUACCACCUAGCGAAACCACAGCGAAGGGAACGGGCUUCGCAAAGACAGCGGGGAAAGAAGACCCUGUUGAGCUUGACUCUAGUUUGACACUGUGAAGAGACUUGGAAGGUGUAGCAUAGGUGGGAGCUUCGGCGCCGGUGAAAUACCACCACUUCUAAUGUUUCUUUACUUAUUCAAUGAAGCGGUACGACACUUUGUGUCUCUUAUAGCUUGCAACCCUUCGGGGGAACCGGGUUGAAGACACUGUCAGGUGGGGAGUUUGGCUGGGGCGGCACAUCUGUUAUAAGAAAACGCAGAUGUCCUAAGGGGGACUCAUGGAGAACAGAAAUCUCCAGUAGAACAAAAGGGUAAAAGUCCCCUUGAUUUUGACCUUCAGUGUGGGUACAAACCAUGAAAGUGUGGCCUAUCGAUCCUUUAGAUCCUCCGUGUUUGAGGCUAGAGGUGCCAGAAAAGUUACCACAGGGAUAACUGGCUUGUGGCAGUCAAGCGCUCAUAGCGACAUUGCUUUUUGAUCCUUCGAUGUCGGCUCUUCCUAUCAUGACGAAGCAGAAUUCGUCAAGCGUUGGAUUGUUCACCCACUAACAGGGAACGUGAGCUGGGUUUAGACCGUCGUGAGACAGGUUAGUUUUACCCUACUGUCGAAUUUUUUGCAAUAGUAAUUGAAUUUAGUACGAGAGGAACAAUUCAUUCCGGUAAUUGGUUUAUGCCGCUGCUCGAUCGGGCAAUGCGGCGAAGCUACCACCGGCUGGAUAAAGGCUGAACGCCUCUAAGCCCGAAUCCAUGCUAGAACGCAAAGACACUUGCCUCGCAUAUUCUAGUUGAGUAUCAAUAAGCUUCGGCGCAGAACCAUAUCAGGUUGCCCACGGCAGUCCUCCGGAACAGGUGGGCUGUUUGGCAACGUAUCGCAAUGUCAUAAUGUGCGGGGAUAAAUCCUAUGCAGACGACUUAAAUGUACGACUGGGUAUUGUACGUGGUAGAG